This 200-nucleotide unclassified non-coding RNA is filed under the name Russula sp. Its description in RNAcentral is "partial internal transcribed spacer 2". The record is from RNAcentral. Lineage: Eukaryota; Fungi; Basidiomycota; Agaricomycetes; Russulales; Russulaceae.
UUAAGUUCAGCGGGUAGUCCUACCUGAUUUGAGGUCAAGGUUUGUUGUGGGUCAAGCCGACCACCUACGGAGAGGCGGCGACCGGAACACCAUCGUUGUCGAUGAGACGGUUAGAAGCGGGCAACGGUGCCAAACCCAAGACGUAGAAACAUUUUAUCACGUCAAGGAUCAGCAAAGCGGACCCCACUAAUUCAUUUGAG